GACGGAGGGUGCAAGCGUUGCUCGGAAUCAUUGGGCGUAAAGGGUGCGUAGGCGGCUUCUUAAGUCUGACGUGAAAGCCCAGGGCUCAGCCUUGGAAGUGCGUUAGAAACUGAGAAGCUUGAGUACCGGAGGGGAGAGUGGAAUUCCUGGUGUAGCGGUGAAAUGCGUAGAUAUCAGGAGGAAUACCGGUGGCGAAAGCGACUCUCUGGACGGCAACUGACGCUGAGGCACGAAAGCGUGGGUAGCAAACAGG
RNAcentral lists this ribosomal RNA (253 nucleotides) under uncultured bacterium. RNAcentral describes it as "partial 16S ribosomal RNA". It matches the Rfam family "Bacterial small subunit ribosomal RNA", at positions 524 to 776 of the family's 1533-position model. The record is from RNAcentral.